GGUAAUGAUGGUGGCUCACGAGGAGAGUUUACUGAGCUGGGAAGAGGCUUUCGAUCCUCCGGCUCCUCUACUUUACUAAAAACCUCGCCUUUGAAGAAAAAAAGAAGGGAUUUUUUAAGGAGGGAAAAGAGGCCGAGCGAGAGAGAUGGGAAUGGGGAUGGGAGCUCCUCAUUCUUAAAUGCCUCUCCUUUCUGAAGAAGGGAGUCAAUAUAAGGUUGAAAUAAAGGGAAAACAAGAUGGUGGAGCAGCGGUUCUUCUUCAACAAGGUGACCAUUCCUUGAUUUCGCUUUUUGAUGAAUUUUGUUUCGUUUUUCCUUGUCAUAUAUCUAUAGAAUCUCAGUGUUAUAGCUGCACUUCAUUGUGUCUGUAAAUGACUCUGAGAACAUUGCUUGAUCUGAACAAAAAAGAAGCUGCUUUGAGGUUUUUCCUUCUUCUCACCUUGACUGGUCAUUCUUGGAACUUUCUUCUUCUUUCCAAAUGUUUCUUGCUGGUUCUCAAGUUUGUUUAUCAUAUCAAGUUCCGGGAAAUAGUUACCAGUUAAAUCUGAAAAGCUGUCUUUGCCUGGGAUUUCACUCUGUAUUGUGAUUCAGGUGACCUAACUGAGCUAAUAAACACUUCAAUCUGUACCAAAUUAUUUCAUGACUUGCUUGUUUUAACUCGUCAUUAUUCAGUUCUUUUUUAUCACAUGAUUCUGUCAAAUUAUUCCCUUUAUUUUUAUUGUUUCAGUGCAUCAUUUAACACCAUCCUUUGUGCUACUGAAAUUUGGAACUACUAGUUAUGAGUGGUCAUUCUUUUCUGAUUAAUGCCACUUGAGUCUCACAUGGAGCUGUUUAUUUCAUAUGUCGUCAGCUAUACCUACUUAGCUAGUGUGGUACUUCCCAAAUUAAAAUCUUUGACAAGAAUAGCCAAUAGCUAGACUAUUUUUGUACAUGGUCUGGUUUUGUUUAUCCACCGACCAGUAUCUUUCUCUAAUAUUUAUUGCAGGAUGCACUCGUCAUAAAGGGACCAAAGAAAUCGCAUGCUUUGAGGAUGUUUAUGUUAGCUGCUGUGAUGAUAUGUGGUGUCUAUAUUUGCUCAGUAUGUUUAACGCAACUGGGGAUACAAAGCAGACCCAGAAAAUUGAAGAUGGAGAUAAUGGAAGCACCUUGCAAAAAUCCUGCCAUUCCAUAUUAUGAAAUCCCAUAUGUGCAUUAUCCAGAACCCAAUACUUAUAGCAGGUGUCUUUUGUUUUUCCUUUUGUCCUGGUAAUCUGUUUUAAUUUGGCUUUUGCCAGCAUUUUAACUAACCAUUCAUCAAUUCAUCAGGGAUGAAUGUGCAUGUACACCAGUUCGGUUUUUUUCUAUUGUGUCCAUGCAGAGAUCUGGAAGCGGAUGGUUUGAGACUCUUUUGAAUAGCCAUGUUAACAUUAGUUCUAACGGGGAGAUUUUCUCUUCCAAAGAAAGGAGAGGCAACAUAUCGGCAAUCAUAAGAGCAUUGGACAAAGUUUACAAUCUGGAUUGGUACAGCAGUGCUGCAAAAAAUGAUUGUACAGCUGCUGUUGGUUUGAAGUGGAUGCUUAAUCAGGUAUCAUUCAUCACUGAAAUAAUUUCUUUGGUGUGUUAUCUUUAUCUGAUGCAGGCUUAAGUUUCUUGCUAUGUGCUUGUUCAAUUGAAACCUGACAUUUAUGCAAUCGGAGAAGUUGAUUUGUGUUUCCAUAGAAAUUUGACCAAACAUUUCGAGACAUAAAUACACACACACACUUCGUACAGAUACAAAAUCUAACUACACUAUUAUUCCAACUGGAAAUCUUUGGUCAAAUUUCUAUGGAAACACAAAUCAACUUCUUCUAACUUGAACCUCAGUUAACAAGGUUCAUCUUCUUCUUGACCAUUUGUUGAAUUUCCAAAAAUGAAUGCUGAUGAAUCAUAAUUUUUGGAAUCAAACAGUUGAACGUAGAGUUGUUAUUAGAUACGAUGUAGGGAUUAUAUUUGGGCCUUGAAAGUUGGUGCAACUGUGGAUGCAUGUUUCUUGAAAUUUUCAACUUAGAGCAGUUAGAAAGCAAUUGAAGCUUGAUGAGAAAAUUGGUGGAUCACAUUCUAUGAAUAAACCUUGAACACAGUAAUUGGUUCGAGGUAAUAAAGCUAAUUUGGCAACUAGACUGAGAGGUGCUUCAAGCAAGAGUUAACAUGUUCCAUUGACCAAAAACCAGGUAUUCCAUAAUUCAACAUUUUGAGGACAAGUUGAAACUGAAAAAGUGCUAAUGUAGUUCCAUUAGUUAAGCCUGUCAGUUUAAGAUGCAAACUGAAGGUACAAAAGCAUGAUGUACUUGGUGUUUUCCCGAUACAUGAGAACAGAACAAUAUUAGUCAUUGAGUAUACUAUCUGACUUGAAUAUUCAAAAACAUUUUUGGUCUAGACAGGUAUGUAUAAGGUUAUUAUUACUGAAAAAUUCAAGCAUUCUACUAAACAUUGUACCCAACUGAUGCUGGAAAUUUGAUGGUUCAAACUGUCUGGAAAGUGGCACCUAUUGGCAUUUAGAGUUUGGAUUUAAGUAGGAUUCUAUUAGUCCAAUUUUUAUUAGGAUUAGGAAGUAGUUGGUCUUUGGUAAGUAUUGUUUUUCCUUUGUUGAUUUGGAAUAGAAGCAUGAUUAAGCAUGAAUCACUGUGAAGCAACAGGCUUCUCGGUAACAGCAGCUGUACUGCAUCAAAAGAUAUUAGAAGAUAAUAUGGAUACUACAAGGUUUAUGAUCUAAUCUUUAGACUUUAGAGGACUCUAAAACUUCAGAAAUGUAAUAAUGAAAUCCAUGAAAUAGUAUAGAUUGUGGACUCAUGAAAUAGUAUAGAUUGUGGACUCGUGUCUUCCUAGCUGUAAUAUUAUACUGUAAACCCUCUUGAUUCUGCAGGACAGAAUUUCUUGUGUACAACUUGCUCAGCUUGUUUGAUUGACUUUUAAGGACAUACUGUAAAUCUGACUCUGACAUCUCCAGUUUUUAUGGAUAUUACAGGGCCUUAUGGAGAAUCAUGUAAAGGUAGCCAAAUACUUCAGUCGAAGAGGGGUCUCUUUGAUUUUCCUGUUCAGAAGAAACUUGCUUCGUCGUUUGGUUUCGCAACUCGCAAACGAUCAUGAUCGCAACACUAAGCAAUUAAAUGGGACUCAUAAAGCUCAUGUCCAUUCAACAAACGAGGUCAGUUCUUCUCAUCAACAACCUUCCACUUUAAAGUCCAUACUCUUUCUUCACCUUGGUGAUUGCAAUGCAGGCCAACAUACUAGCGAGAUACAAGCCCAGGAUCAACACCUCAGAAUUGAUUUCAACUCUCAGGCACACACACAAGUUCAUCACCGAUGCCAUGGGGCACUUCAGGAACACCCGGCACAUUGUUCUGUACUACGAGGACCUUGUCCAGAAUCGAACUGUGAGUUGUCUGCAGCUCUUCGUUGCUCAAAGCUACAUCUUGCACUAUAACCCAUGUAUCAUUUUUCUUCUCCAGAAGCUGAUGGAUGUCCUGGAGUUCCUCAGAGUCCCUCCAAGGAAGCUGGUUAGUCGACAUGUAAAGAUUCACACAAGACCACUGCCCAAGUUGGUCGAGAACUGGGAUGAUGUUUACAGAUCUCUUGAAGGAACGGAGUAUAGGAGCUUCUUGAAUGCCAAUUACGAUUUAUAGAUUGUUCUUCAUUUGAUCCUUGUUGUAGCUGGAUUCUCCAGGACACAGCCACAUUAAGGUAAGCUGAUCCAACAAGCUCGGCCAAGUGGGCUGGGUCAACGGGCUGGUCUCAUGGGCUGCAUAAAAGCCCAGUAUGGGCUGAUUAUGGGCCGACUUAUGGCCUCGGCUAUUGGACCUUGAGAAUGGAUUAAUGGGCUGAUAUUUUCGGGUGGGCAAAUGGGCUGAGUGUUGGGUUAGGUAAUGGGUUAUAUAUAUAUAUAUAUAUAUAUGUAUAUAUAUAUAUAUAUAUAUGUAUAUAUAUGUAUAUGUAUACAUAUGUAUACAUAAGUAUAUACAUGCAUACGUAUACAUAUGCAUAUAUAUGAAGAGAAAUUAUCUUUCAGCUUCAAACCAAAACCAUUCAACUUAGUCUGAUCCUUUCAGCUGAAAUCUAAUCACAGCCAGCAGGAAUCAAUAGACGGAUGACCAUUUCAACGUAAUGAUUUCUGGUUUCCGCAAUCUACACCAAGGAGUUCCCUGUCUGGGAGCCACAGGCGAUCCGAGUCGCAGUUCCUCCACUGCCUUACCGAGGCCAAAAAAAAAAGAGAAAGAAAACAAAAAUUGUACUUAUCUAAUAAAUAAAUAUGUAGAUAUUGUGCUCAUAUCCGAUUCGUUGUUUGUAGUUGCUUCUGGCUUUUGCUGCGUCUUCCUACCCUCAGCUGCUCUCCAAAGAGCUGAGGGCGAGGGCGAAAGCGAGGGAACAGAGGGCGAACGAGGGAUAGAUAGCGGGUAGGAGGGAUCGAGGAAGAAGAGAAGGUGGGCGGGGAGAGGGAUUUUGGUUUGAUGGCGGACGCUUUCUGCCCCGACUGCAAGCGGAGCACGGAGGUGGUGUUCGACCACUCGGCGGGGGACACGGUGUGCUCCGAGUGCGGGCUGGUGCUGGAGGCGCACUCCAUCGACGUGACCUCGGAGUGGCGCACCUUCGCCAACGAGUCCGCGGACAACGACCCCGUUCGUGUCGGCGGGCCCACCAACCCCCUCCUCACCGACGGUGGCCUCUCCACCGUCAUCUCCAAGCCCAACGGCGCGCAGGCCGAGUUCCUCUCCUCCUCCCUCGGCCGGUGGCAGAGCCGCGGCGCCAACCCCGACCGCAACCUCAUCCUUGCUUUCAAGACCAUCGCCACCAUGGCCGACAGGUCCCCCCUUCCUCCAUCUUCCCAUUUAUUGAGCUGCUAUUUUGGAUUGAGCGGUGCCGUGUUUCGCGAGGGAAUGUAAAAAAGAAAAAAGGCCUUUUUUUUCUUUUUUUGAAAUAAUGACUAAAAGAGAGAGGAUCUUUGGGCGCGAACUCAUGAAUCUGAUUCUAGUGUUCUUUUAUGACUGUUUUCAGGGAAAAUCUUUUUGUAUUUUUUAGUAAUCAAAGUGGGAUAUUUUCUAAACUAGAAAAUGGAUUUUUGAGUUGAGCACAUUUCUGAUUAUAAUAGAUUUUUUUUUUCAAAAAUAAUUAUCAUCAAGCGAUAAUAACCUUAAAACAUCCAAGGACUUGUCUUUGACUAGAAUCUGCUGCUGCUGUUCAUGACACAUCCAUGGGCUUGUACAAUUUUGCUUCAAUAUCUGAGUUUAAAAUCAUCAUCAAUCAUCAUCCAUGGGCUUGAUUGGUUCUUCCUCAACCAUAAAUACAAAAACAACUUUCAUCCUUCUCAAUACUUAUCAAUUGUGGAAUGCUUCAUGUAACUUUUGAAUUUGUGAUAUCCUUUCUAUUUUUUAUCUACCUAGACUUAAGCAUGUGUCUUUUCCCUCUGGAUCAUGACCUAUGGACAUCGAGAUACAGUUAGUUUGUGCUAUGCAUUUCUUUGAAUGGAAUGAUUACUAAAGCAGGUGCUGACAUUUUUUCCUUUUUGGUCCCAGGUUGGGCCUUGUUGCCACUAUCAAGGUACAAAUUUUGCCUUUCUGUAGUUUUUUUUUUGUUUUAUGACCCUUUUCCUUGGAAUAAAUUUUUUAGAGCACGAAUCUUGCUGGGAAGCUUCAAUCCGUGAUAAUUGGUUGAGUUGGUUGUCUUGCGAAUAAAUUAUCACUAACAAAUCGAAUCAAUUUUACUAUGUGCCUGGCUUUUUUUAAUCAGUUGGUUAUUUCAACGGCCACAAUGUCAUGUCAUUUAUUUUAGCCAUGUGUCAUCCUUUUGUGUUGACAAAAAAAGGUAGUAGACUGUAGGACUUCAUUAUCAUUCGCGAUGUCAGAUGAAAACAAAGGUAAGGCUUCGUGGGCCUUUUAGUUUCAUCCAAGUAAAAAGAUGAUAACAAAAACUAGAAGAGGUUUGUUUUGUGGUUAUGAUAUAUAUGUUAAAGCAAGGGACUUAUGUUGGUAAUGGUAUCCUUAUCUGUCAAGAGUGGUUGAGUUUCAAUCAACAGUUCAAUUUGUUGUGCAUGGAAAAUAUAUUAUCUAAUUUGGAGAAUUAAUGAAUAUUGGUCUGUGUUUUAGUAGAAUUGUCUAGCUUGAAUAAAUGCUAGGUGGUUGAUUCAUUGGUCCGGUUAAGAGGCUGUCAAUAUUGAUGCCAUGUAGACUGUUUAGCGAUUUUCAUUCUUGGACGUUGUAGAAAGCAACAGUGCAGAGUUUCUGAUGCUUUUUAUUAGUUCUUCCUUAUUUCAUAUCCAUACAAACUGCUUGGGUCCAAUGGUUGGACCUAGAGAAAAUGUCUAUUAUUGGGAUGUUAUUUUUAAUGGUUUACUUGCGGGUCUCGGUUAUUGGAUGAUAAACCCCUAGCAAGUAAUUUAAGCAAUUUUAAUUGGCGAGAGCUUGACUGGAAAUUUAAAGGUUUGGUAGCUUCACCUUCUAAAGGCGGCAGGGUAUUUGAGGUUUACUCUCUUCACUGCAGAGGAAUCGGAGUGGAGGAUGAUCAUCGAUAUUCUUAGGUCACUUAUGACAGAUGUAGGGUGCUUUAGUGCUCAUUUUGAACUUUUGUGGACAUGGUAGUAAUGUUUUUAGGGCCCAUCGGAUGGAGACUCUAUGGCUUGGGUUAUUCUUGCAUAGUGAAAAGCUUUAUUGUGUUGAGAAUGUACAAUUAAACUAAUUGGAAACUGUUAUUUUUGCAUGCUGGACAAAUGGGACUUGGUUGAUUAAUUAUGAUGUGUUGAUAUUUUAGUUAAGUCUUGGAUCUUAAAAUUUUUGCUUAGUUUAUUCAGUUCUGGAUUAGACUUUGUUUUCGGUUCUUCAAUUGUUGGAUAAUUUAUAAUCGGGAAGUAUAAUUUCGUUGAAGUCCCCCCUGUACUGUUUUGUAUUGUUUGGUGUUAACUUACAAGUUCCUGCACCAAUUAUUGUUCUCUAACUUUCAUUUUUAUUAUGUCCAUGCUAAGACAAGUCACUGGACCCUUAAUCGAUAAUCAUUUUAAUAAAAUAUUAUAUUGCAAAAUUGAUGCUCAUUGAUACCAUCAAUAUAUGCACUUGAUGAGCACUUAUCCAACAUGUAAAAAGCCAGAGAUACAUACAUUCUGGCUCCUUUCUUACACAAUGAAUGAACACUGCAUACAUGCAACAUUUGUUUGUCCUGGCAGCAUGCAACCAGGGGUGAAAUAUGUUUCUGCUACGUGCUGCCUCCAUUUCUCCAGGAAUACCAAAAUAUAUGGAGAGAUACAUUUGUUUGUCAUCGUAGAAUGAGAUGGUUUGUUAUAUUCAAUUGGGCCUAUACAUAUGUUAAGAUGUUCAUGGUCUGAUCGAAAGCUCAGUUCUGGUGGUGCAUGUGCUACUGGCAUCACCAGCCUUUAAGCUUACAAAAUAACAAUUUUGUAACAUGAACAUUGCACCAGUCAUUUCAUCAGAAAAUCAGGGUGAAAUAUGUUAUAUCCAUCAUUUUAUGUUCAUGCUGGGGUUGUGGUAGGGUUUCAUACAGAAUUUUGCGAUGCAACUUUUAGUAUACUCUAAGCAUCAGAUCAUUUCAAUCUUUAAUUAAUUCUUCAUUUUAGGUUCUUUGUCAUGUAUGUAAUACCUGUAUUAGACAUGUUCUCUUCAAGUAUUUGUUCAUCUCUUUUUCUUUCAUGCUCCAUGGAUUAUACAUGAUUUAUUAUGUUGCUUUGGUAAUUAUGUGCUUUCUGAAAUUAUACAUUAGUAUUUGCUUUGUCAAUAGCCUUUAUGGAAAUCAUUGUUGGCAGGUAACUAUUGACUUGGCUGGCGAGGUUCUUGUGCAUUUUUUGUUUGGUCCCUUACUCCUUAAUGACCAUCUUAUGUCUUCUUGAAGGACCGGGCCAAUGAGAUAUACAAGAAAAUUGAAGAUCUUAAGUCUAUUAGAGGGCGAAAUCAAGAUGCAAUUUUAGCUGCUUGUCUAUACAUUGCUUGCCGACAGGAAGACAGGCCUCGAACUGUGAAGGGUUUGUAGCUUAGUUUUAGUUUCUUUGCUGAUUAUUAUUUUCUAUUUUGAUAUUUGUUAGUUUAACUGAUAUGAUUCCCUCAACUAGAAAUUUGCUCUGUUGCCAAUGGAGCUGCAAAGAAAGAAAUUGGUCGGGCUAAGGAGUUCAUUGUAAAACAGCUUGAAGUUGAGAUGGGACAGUCAAUGGAGAUGGGAACAAUUCAUGCUGGAGAUUUUCUGGUUAGUUUAAGCAUUGUUAGUUUGAUUAGUUACAUUCUAUUUAAUUGAAAUUUAACUUCGUCUGAGCUGUCUUUCGCUGUUUAUUUUUCUGGUUUCUUUUCAUUUUUUAGCACAUAUUCUUUUUGUUUAACCUGCCUAUCUGUUUUGGCCUUGAAUUUACAGAGACGUUUUUGUUCACAUCUUGGUAUGACAAAUCAAGCAGUUAAAGCUGCUCAGGAAGCAGUCCAGAAGUCAGAAGAGCUUGAUAUAAGGUAUUGAUUUUAAAAUGCUCUUAUAAGAAUAGUAGACAACUUCUUUGGAUCUUUCUAGUCUUGUUGGUCUAAUUAGUUAUUAUUUUGAAAGUAAAACGUCAUCUGUUAUGUAAUGAUUUCUUCAGCAGCUAUUCAUUAGUUGUUAUUUAUGUGUUCUUCCUCUCUAAGCUGAAUUGCUUGCAUUUUGGAUGUUCAUGUAUUGUACCUGAAGAGCUUGAGAUCUAUAACAUAUCAUAAACCAGGCACCUGGUGGGCCAUGUACUUGCUGCUGGCACAUUAUGAUAGGAUAAUGGUGUCGUACAUGCUAUAGACCCUUUACCUAAUUCACUCUGGUAACUAUGGAAUUUGAUAAAUACAAGUUGUUAAAAAAGUCAGAAUUUGUACUUGUUUGACAUGAAUGUUAGAUGUCAUAGUGAAGAACAGGGUUUUUUUUUUUUGCAGAAUGUUAACACUGUCUCUUAAGUUUUAUGUGUGGAACUGUAGCCUUUACAAGAGGGAUUAGAUCCUGACCGCAGAAACCUUGUGCAGGAGAAGUCCUAUAUCAAUUGCAGCGGCUAUCAUUUACAUGAUAACACAGUUAUCAGAUGACAAGAAGCCUCUCAAAGGUUUUGCAUUCCUGUUUUCACGUCUGUCGUGGUUCACAUGUUCCGUGUCUUUAACAUAUUUAUGCUUGCAGACAUAUCCCUGGCAACCGGAGUAGCAGAAGGCACCAUCCGGAACUCCUACAAAGAUCUCUAUCCUUAUUCUUCAAGGAUCAUUCCAACCUCCUUUGCAAAAGAGGAGGACCUAAAGAACCUCUGCAGCCCAUAAUUUGUUCUCAGAAGAGUGUCCGAAAACCUGAUACAUCUUCAGGUACAAUCAUACAUCCAGUUAUGGAUGGUAUGAUAGUAUCGACUGAUGCAAUGUUUAGUUGUGAACUUGAUCUGACCUGUUAUUUAUCUAGGAACUUCUCGACGAAGGUGUUGUAUCUGAUUUGCAAAGAAUUGAGCUUUCUAAACUGAUGCUUCAAUCUGCUGUAGGUGUUUAACCUAGAUGAAAACGCCAACAUAGUGAGGUAGACAACUUUUCAUGUAUCACUUGUAUGAAUGAAGUUUGUUGCUGUCGAUUCGAAAGCAUGUAAAGUUCAAGUUGCUGGCUAUAAAGCGUUGUCAUUAGAUAGGAUUCGAGUGUUUCAGUCAGUAUUCUCGUAAUUUUUAUUGAUUCCAAGAAUCCAAAGUGGGAAUUCCGUUCUUGGAUGUUUGUAUAUAUCCCAAGAGAAUCUAGUGUUUCUAUCUGGACUUUGUGGGAUGCUUUGUGCACUUUCUAAGGUUUUGUUUGGUUCAAAGUGUAUUUGAGUUCAUUGUUUGCUGAUUAGUAACCAUUACUCUUUUAGAGUCACUGGUUAAGAUUAAUUCAAAUAAUUAAGAUUAGAUAAAAUAAAAUAAAAAUAGAUUUAAAUAAAUAGAUUAGGAUGAAAAAAUGUUAAGAUAAAAUAAAUUUUUUUUAUUAUUUAAAAAAAUUUAUAUUAUAUAUUUUUAAUCAAUAUAAAUAGGUGUUCUUGAAUCAAUCUAAAAUAUUAAUAGGAAUACAUCGAUUACAAAUGAGGGAAGACUAGUAGAUCCAAAAAAAAAAAAAAAAAAAAAAGAUAGCAUACAUUGGAGUAAGUGUCCCUAAUCUACUGUUUCUUAUCUUCAAAAGUGAAAAUUAUUAAUUUUAGGUUAUUAAAAUAAAAUUUUUAUUUAUUUUAUAUGGAUUAUGAAAUUUGGUAAAAGUUUUUUUUUUUCAGUAUGAUCUAUAAGAUCCUAUUAAAGAUAAAAAAUAUUAGAUGAGUGAGAAUAUACAGAAAGAUGCAAGAGCCCCCUAUAUGUUAUAACAAGCAAUAGUUGAGCUUUUAUUUUUCUACAGUAUCAACAUCAACAGAAGCUUAGAAAAUAUUAAAAAUUAUGUUUAGAGGCGCAGACAAAAUAAAAUGUUUAAAACUUCAAAUUCUUCGAUAUGAAUUCAAAACUCUUAUGAUAAAUUUUUUUGAAUCUAUCAUUGAUUUCUUCUCAAAAAUAUUUUUUAUUAUGAAUCAAACGAGAUCUGAGGAAAAUAUAAAAGAUCAAACUAUAGUAGAAAAAGUUUUAUGAAGUUUAUGUCCAAAAUUUGAUAUGAUUUUUGUUGCUAUUGGAAAAAGCUAAAAAUACAAGUACAUUGUAUAUUGAUGAAUUAAUGAGCUCUCUUUUAGUUCAUAAACAAACAAUAAACAAAUCUUCAUAUGAAACUUUAGAACAUGCUCUUCAAAUGAUAAAUCGGAAUAAGGACUAAAAGAAAAUUUUAGAAACUAAAUAUCAAGGGAAAGAUCAAAAUAACAGAGUUCAUGAUCGAUCAAAUGAGGGUCAGAGGAACUCGAUUGAAGGUAACAAAAAAACCAAUCGAUGUUUUUAUUGUAAAAAAAUGAACAAAUUAUUGGUUCAAAAAUAAAAAUCCAAAUAUUUCUCUUUGCUCUUACUAUAAAUAAUAUGAUCAUCUUCAAAAAAAUUGUUGGAAUAAAAAUCAAAUAAAUUAUCAUGAGAAAAAUAAUGAUGAAAAAAGGGAUGAAAAAAAUAUUUUCUUUAUAGCAUGUGAUGAAGAAUAUUUUAGAUAUGUUUGGUUUUAGAUAGUGGAUACAGUAAUCAUAUGAUAAGGGGAUAAAAAUUUAUUCCAAAAGCUUGAUGAUUCAAUCAGAUCUAUAGUAUAAAUGAAAAAUGAUAGUAAAGUUAAGGAAAAGGAAUAGUUAUCAUGAACACUAAAUCUAGUAAAAAAAUUAUUGAUGAUAUGAUGUUUAUUCUUGAUUUAAAUUAAAAUCUCAUUAGUAUAGGACAACUAAUGAGAAAAAAAUAUUAUACUAUUUUUUUUGAUAAAAAAUGUUUGAUUUAUGAUAAGAAGCUUGGAAAAUUGAUAGCAACCCUAAGGAUAACAAAAAACAAAGAAUUUUUCUUGUUAUUUUCGGAUUUCUCCAUGCUACUAUUACUAAUGAGAAAAGGAUAUUAUAUAAUUUUUUAUAAUAAAAAAUGCUUGACUUAUGAAAAGAAAAUUAGAAAAUUGAAAGCAAUUGUGAGGAUGACAAAAAAUAAAGUGUUUCUCUUAUUAUCUUCGGAUUUCUCCUUACAUACUACUAUUAAUGGAAUAAAAGCUAUCAUCAUCUAAAUUUUGGUGGGUCUAUAUAAACUUUCUCACUUGACGAAUUCUACAAAAUUCAAACUGAUAACAAGAUGCCUCAGAACAAGACUAAAAUUAAUGAAAGUUUUGAUGAGAGCAAUGAGAAGCCACAAUUCAAGAAACGAAAAGUUUCGGAUUAUGUUCCAUCUACUAUUGGUAAACAUGUUAUGAAAACUAUCAAAAUGGAGAGCAUUAACGGUAAUGAAGAUGAUGAUGACAGCUUUGAAGAAAGUUAUGAUCAUGAAUAUUUAAAAAAGCAAGAAGCUAAGAAGUCUCAAGCAUCAAAAACUAGCAAUGGUUCUAAUGAGUCUUUUGAGGAAAGUGAAAAUGAGCAACUAUUGAAGAUUUGGAAAAAGGUUAAAGAUGUAAAAAUGAUGGACGCAGCACGAAAAACUAGUUUGUCGAUAUCUUCACAAAAGCUUUAGCAAAAGAAAAUUUUUAUUCCGAAAACAACUUCAAGUUACAACUAUUUGAAUUAAGAGAGUAUGUUAAGAUUAAUUCAAAUAAUUAGUAUUAAAUAAAAUAAAAGAUAAAAAAUUAUAUUUAAAUAAAUAGUUUAGGAUGAAAAGGUUUAUUAAGAUAUGAUAGAUUUUUUCAUUGUUUUAAAAAAUAUAUAUUUUAUCUUUUAAUCAAUCAAUAUAAAUAUGUGCUUUGGAUCAAUAAAAAACACUGUCCCGUCUCCUAGUCUCUUUAUCUAACAUAGGAUCAUUGAAGUAUAGAUCAAUAUGUCCCGUCUAUUGGCCAAAUUUUUAUGGUCUCUGUCACGAUCACUUAAUAUUGUUCAAAUUAGAAUAUGUUUGAACUCUCAUUAUUUGAGGAAAUCUUAUCUGCUAUCAGUGGACACACGAAAGCCGAAGCAUCACUUAUCAUAUCCGAAAUCCUGCAAUAUUCUGUAUCUUAAGACACCACCGUCACAAUGUGUGACAUGAACAGCGAGUGAGCGACGAAGUUGACGAGCGAGAACCCCACGAUAAGCUGCAUCGCACUCUGCAAUCUUUGCUUCGUCUUCCGAGUUCUACUGUGCGAAGGAAGAAGAGAACCCACAGAGACACGAGCAUGGCUCUGCACUAUGUCAGGCUCUCAAGUCUCUACCAAGUGCAGCUCUUCGCGCAGUCUUUGGGGCACGAACACAUCCCGCCGCAACUCGACAAAGCCGCAUGUGAUCGCCUCCAUCGCCAUGUCGCCCCCGUGCAUGAGGAAUCUAUCGGACGACUUCAGGCUGCAUGAAGACAACACUUACCCAGGGCUGCGGAUCCUCCAUCCUACAUGAUAACCUGUUCCUUUCGCCAGCUUUUGCCAUAUUGGAAUCUUUAUUUGGGGUUUCGAGCUCCUUCACAAGUCUUGAAGGGAAUCCGCGUGGAAUCUCUUACCGCAAGCAACUGUUCGACAGAAUGUCUCAAUGGUAGCUAGAGAAUAUCCCGCACCUUCCCUGGACCAGGGAGCCUUAAGAUGGAAUUGCUUUUAAGUACAGCUAUAAAAGAUUCUCCAGUCUCCAGGUUCUGGUUGGAAAGCUGGUUCUGUCAAGCAAGGCUUUACUCGGAUCUCACCGGAAACGUCCACUGAAACUAGUUCUAUAUAUAUUCUCAGAGGCUAAGCUGUCCGGUGAGCAUGUGAACGAUGAACUCAAAGCCAACCUGUUAUCAGCCUUCUUCUUCUGUCUCUUUCUUCCCCCUUGCAAUGACCUUCCUUCGCUUCAAGAAGGACCAUGUUUUGUUGCAGCACAUCUGGGAACAAAGCGUAGUGUCUUUGGGACUGUGGUAUAAGUCUCUACGUAUACGGUGAGACUUCUCGGCUCCAACCAUCUCCGUUUCGGGUCCUCCAAAGCUCGAUCUACACUGCCUACUCUGCUACUUGGGAGAGCAAAUGAGAGCUUCCUGAUUCUAGUUCACAGGUGAUGAAGACAACAUGCAAAGAAUUAGUACCACUUUAAAUGAAUCGACCUGGUAAAUGUUGUAGUCUGCAUGUGAUUCUUGGAUGCUUGAAUUAAUAACCAAGCAUCUGUGACAACAAUGUACUGUGAAAUGUAAAUUUCUAAUGCUAGAAGAGCAUCAAAACCAAUACAAUAGGUAGGUUGUCACAGAGGCCACAUGCAAACUAAUUAAUGACAUGCUUAUAUUUUGGCUUUUAUUUUUGUGCUCAACAUGUUUUAAGAGAAUCUGCAGAGCACCUAUAAAUAGGGGCUAGGAAGAGGAAACGAAUCAUCUCAUAUUCAAUCUCCAUCUCCAUCCCUAUCUUUCCUGCUCCCUCUCUGUGUUGUCUCUCUGAGACUGUCCCAUCCUCAUGGCUGUUAGCAAGUCCAUGCUGUGUGUUGUUCUUAUUCUCAUUAUCCUCGGGGUGGCUUUCACUGCUGAGGGCAGACCUCUGAAGGAAGACAAGACCAAGACCAAGACCAAGACCAGUAUGUGCAGCAGAUGCUGGACACAGAGUGACAUGAGUUCCAAAGGAACGGUGGAAGGCACCAUUGCACCCUCUGAAGAGAAUGGCAAUGGCAGCGGACGGUUGGUGGGCAACGACGAUGUUCGACCUACAAACCCAGGACACAGCCCCGGCGUGGGCCACUAAUCUGGCUCGAUCGAUCCAACGUGUGUGAUUUAAGAUGCUUGGUUUCUCAUCUUUCGUAUAUAAGUUUCAUCAUCAUCAUCAUCAUCAUCAUCAUUUAUCUCCUUCUAAUUAUUGUAUUGUGUUCAUCUGCGUUUAGAUCAGGUUUGGCUUUUCCUUAUCGCACUGUAUUACUUUUGUUUCACCGCAAUUUCAUUCAGUCCGAACGAUUGUUGUCUGAAGAAACACUAUCGAUGAUUGUGGUUAUGAAAGCUCGAGUUUAUUGUGUUUUGGCAUUUAA
RNAcentral lists this long non-coding RNA (14441 nucleotides) under Musa acuminata (dwarf banana). RNAcentral's name for it is "long non-coding RNA (MACU_LNC000357)". Lineage: Eukaryota; Viridiplantae; Streptophyta; Magnoliopsida; Zingiberales; Musaceae. The record is from RNAcentral.